RNAcentral lists this transfer RNA (72 nucleotides) under Streptomyces canus. RNAcentral describes it as "tRNA-Arg". The record is from RNAcentral. RNAcentral also lists the same sequence under 2 other names. Lineage: Bacteria; Bacillati; Actinomycetota; Actinomycetes; Kitasatosporales; Streptomycetaceae.
GCCCCUGAUCUCCUGUGAGGAGACACGGGGCCACCGGAGCCGUGUGCGCAGGUUCGAAUCCUGCCGGGGGCA